RNAcentral lists this ribosomal RNA (720 nucleotides) under uncultured bacterium. RNAcentral's name for it is "bacterial SSU rRNA". It matches the Rfam family "Bacterial small subunit ribosomal RNA", at positions 63 to 774 of the family's 1533-position model. The record is from RNAcentral.
CGAGGGGGUUAGUUGUCAAGCAAUAGAUGACUAUGAGACCGGCAAACGGGUGCGGAACACGUACGCAACCUUCCCAAAACUGGUGAAUAGCCCUCCGAAAGGAGGAUUAAUGCACCGUAACAUAUAGAGAUGGCAUCAUUUUUAUAUUAUAGCUCCGGCGGUUUUGGAUGGGCGUGCGCCUGAUUAGGUAGUUGGUGAGGGUAACGGCCCACCAAGCCUUCGAUCAGUAACUGGUGUGAGAGCACGACCAGUCACACGGGCACUGAGACACGGGCCCGACUCCUACGGGAGGCAGCAGUAAGGAAUAUUGGUCAAUGGACGCAGGUCUGAACCAGCCAUGCCGCGUGAAGGAUGACGGCCCUCUGGGUUGUAAACUUCUUUUAUCUGGGACGAAAAAAGGGCUUUCUAGCUCGACUGACGGUACCAGAGGAAUAAGCACCGGCUAACUCCGUGCCAGCAGCCGCGGUAAUACGGAGGGUGCAAGCGUUAUCCGGAUUUACUGGGUUUAAAGGGUGCGUAGGUGGGUCUGUAAGUCAGUGGUGAAAUCUCCGAGCUUAACUCGGAAACUGCCAUUGAUACUAUAGAUCUUGAAUUAUCUGGAGGUAAGCGGAAUAUGUCAUGUAGCGGUGAAAUGCUUAGAUAUGACAUAGAACACCAAUUGCGAAGGCAGCUUACUACGGAUCGAUUGACACUGAGGCACGAAAGCGUGGGGAUCAAACA